UUAGGAAUUUUGGGCAAUGGGCGCAAGCCUGAUCCAGCCAUGCCGCGUGAGUGAUGAAGGCCUUAGGGUUGUAAAGCUCUUUCACCGAUGAAGAUAAUGACGGUAGUCGGAGAAGAAGCCCCGGCUAACUUCGUGCCAGCAGCCGCGGUAAUACGAAGGGGGCUAGCGUUGUUCGGAUUUACUGGGCGUAAAGCGCACGUAGGCGGAUCGUUAAGUCGGGGGUGAAAUCCUGGAGCUCAACUCCAGAACUGCCUUCGAUACUGGCGAUCUUGAGUCCGGAAGAGGUGAGUGGAACUCCUAGUGUAGAGGUGGAAUUCGUAGAUAUUAGGAAGAACACCAGUGGCGAAGGCGGCUCACUGGUCCGGUACUGACGCUGAGGUGCGAAAGCGUGGGGAGCAAAC
RNAcentral lists this ribosomal RNA (401 nucleotides) under uncultured bacterium. Its description in RNAcentral is "bacterial SSU rRNA". It matches the Rfam family "Bacterial small subunit ribosomal RNA", at positions 355 to 773 of the family's 1533-position model. The record is from RNAcentral.